RNAcentral lists this ribosomal RNA (450 nucleotides) under uncultured bacterium. Its description in RNAcentral is "bacterial SSU rRNA". It matches the Rfam family "Bacterial small subunit ribosomal RNA", at positions 29 to 524 of the family's 1533-position model. The record is from RNAcentral.
AACGAACGCUGGCGGCAGGCUUAACACAUGCAAGUCGAACGCCCUCUUUUAGAGGGAGUGGCAGACGGGUGAGUAACGCGUGGGAAACUACCUAGUGGUACGGAACAACACAGAGAAAUUUGUGCUAAUACCGUAUGUGCCCUCCGGGGGAAAGAUUUAUCGCCAUUAGAUGUGCCCGCGUUUGAUUAGCUAGUUGGUGAGGUAAUGGCUCACCAAGGCGACGAUCAAUAGCUGGUCUGAGAGGAUGAUCAGCCACACUGGGACUGAGACACGGCCCAGACUCCUACGGGAGGCAGCAGUGGGAAUAUUGGACAAUGGGCGCAAGCCUGAUCCAGCCAUGCCGCGUGUGUGAUGAAGGCCCUAGGGUUGUAAAGCACUUUCAACGGUGAAGAUAAUGACGGUAACCGUAGAAGAAGCUCCGGCUAACUUCGUGCCAGCCGCCGCGGUAAU